UAAGUGUUUAAAAAGUGUCCAAAAUCUUUCGUUAGAUGAACCUGAAAUUUGAGGCCAAAAUCGGCCCUUACCCGACCUUCUCUUUUUUCAAUAAAUUACAAGUUCGCAAAUAUAUAGCAUUGAUUGUUGACAAACAAAGAGAGAUAAAAACAGACCGAUUAAUAGUCAAAUAACAAAUAGCUAUAUUUUUCCGCAAAAAAAAAACCAUAAAUCAAUGAAGGCAGUUAAGUUACAACUGCAUCCAGGUAAAUCCGAUAAUCUAUAUAUAUAACGUAAAAUAACACCUCUUAUACAUGUUAUAUAAGUAAUGACAACUGCAUCCGGAAUAAUCCGAUAAUCUAUAUAUAAUGUCAAAAAUAUCCUUUAUAUAAGUUAUGGAAUUAGCAUCCGGGAGAAUCCGAUAGUCUAUAUAUAACGUCAAAUAACACCCCUUACAUAAGUUAUGACAUCUGCAUCCGGGAGAAUCCGAUAAUCUAUAUUUAAUGUCAAAAAAGAUACAUAAACGUUAUAUGUCUUUCAUUAAAAAAAAUAAGAAAAUUAAAGAAAACAGAUUUAAAUAUUAACUGAUAUUCAGGUUUCCACCGCUACCCUCUGGGAACAGAUUCUUACCAUAAUUGUUUUAUUCCAUAAAAAGCAGUACCUCCGCACUUUAUCACGGUAGACAUUGCUGAAAGAGCAAAGACACUAUAAUACGCA
RNAcentral lists this long non-coding RNA (696 nucleotides) under Mytilus galloprovincialis (Mediterranean mussel). The record is from RNAcentral. Lineage: Eukaryota; Metazoa; Mollusca; Bivalvia; Mytilida; Mytilidae.